RNAcentral lists this long non-coding RNA (3412 nucleotides) under Zea mays. RNAcentral's name for it is "long non-coding RNA (ZMAY_LNC001062)". Lineage: Eukaryota; Viridiplantae; Streptophyta; Magnoliopsida; Poales; Poaceae. The record is from RNAcentral.
UAGGUUAUAACUGUGGCCGGACACCCCCCGUUACCUAGUCGCCCUCCCGGAGUCUCUCACGGAAGCCGGUGAAGUGCAGACGUGGGGAAGAAGUUCACUGCGUCGCGUCUUGGUCAAAGACCGGGUUUGGGAAGCCAUAGCACCUCGAGUGUGUGUCGCGCAAGUUGGUGUCGUGGCUGGGCGUGGUCGGAACCGAGAACCGGAGCUCGGCGUUACCUCGGCUUUGUCCCGCGCGAGGGGGAUUGGCUCCAGUACCGCACCACCGCAGGUAUGGCCACUUCUGUCGUCUUCGUUGACCAGUCCUUGACGUAUGGUGAGCCGCGGGAGAGGGAAUUAUACAUCUGCGGGUUUUGAAUUGCUCGUCAGAGCCAAUUGACUCUGUGGCACCGAGCCACGCCGUGGGCAGGGUAGUGCCAUCACUCAAACAUUAAAUCGGGGGUCUCGUCUGUUUCGCCUUGCGUCAGGCUGUGUUUUUAGCCACCGGCCGCGGGUGCAGGCGUCGGUGGGUAUCGAAUCGAGGAACGCUAGUGUGGUCAUCGCCAUGAACACGGUGGCGCGGUCGUGCUUGAGGUUGGGCAUGGGUAGCGCGGCAUCCGACCGUCGAUCUGAAAGCAUGUGGCUACGAUUAGAACGAAGAUAACCCUUCGAUGCUUGUGAUCCUAGCCACUGGUGGGUGAUCUCGGGGUGGAGAUUCAAUCAUCGCGUCGGCGUAUUGUGGGCUGUACAAUUUGGAUCCAAGGAUCCGUAUCACGCACCGGUCGACUCAGUUAUGUGAUCUAAUCUCACCCAUGAAGAUCUGAUCGGGCGACUCUAGUGCGCCAGUACCCCUUCGGUGUGGGCGAACUUGUAAAAGAGACCCUGAGAAAUUGGCUAAUUAACCCGCAGUCUAGCACAAGGAGUUCUCAGUCUUAUGAUGUUUUACGCAGAGGCCCCUACACUUCCUGAAUAUAGUAAGCGCAAUCCAUACAUUUAAUAAAACAGAGAAAUUGGUUUAGAAAAUGAUUUUUAGUACACAACUAAUUGCAAAAACUUGUUUAAUUCCUAGAAAAUUCAUUUUAGCUCCUUUUUAAUCCAUUCCAGUUCCUAUAAUUUUGUAUUAAUAUUGUUUAUCACUUAAUAACAUUGUUUUAGCAUGAAACCCAUAUUAAGUUUGAUCACUUAAUUAAUCUUGUACCAAACACAUAAAACCUUCGGAAAUUCAAAACUCGAAAUCCGUAACUCUGAAUGUAGUGAUUCUUUUUCCUAUGAUCUCGUUACAACACAUAGAUUAUUAUUAUGUAUUCUGUAUUCAUGUUUGGUGUGAUGUUAUUUUAUCCCUCGUACCAUGUUUGUUUGCAUUAUGACGAGUAGACGAGCCAGUGGCCGAGGAUCCAGGUGUUCAGCAGGUAGAAGUUGCUGAGCAGGAGCUCAUUGAAGGCAUGUUGUGCCCUUGACCACUUUAUUUACCCAAUAAUGUUCUCUAUAAUCAUUUUAUCAUGAAUAGGCUUAAUUUUGAUGGGACCCAAUAGGCCACCCUAGUCUGGUUAUCUUUAUACCUUGUUUAACCCUGAAUUUUUUGGUAGUCCUUGCUAUUGCUAUAUAUGGUUUUGAGUGUUGAGACAACUAUUACACAUGAUCACUCUUUAUUACUGUUCUAUUUCUAUUCAUGAUAAGACAACUAUGUUAAUUGGAACAUCGAUCUUAACUUGAGAAACACGUGCCACCACAAGGGUGGAAUGGGACGCCCUUGGCUGACUAACUAGGAAAGCUAGUGGAGGACUACCUUUCCCAAAAGGGGCAAGGGCAGUAGGGGAGUAGGCGUGUAGGGAGGUUCCGGGGUUGAUUUUGCUCCGAUGGCGGUCAGACGGGGGAUUCCUGCAUUGCUCUUCCUAGAAACUGUAGCGGGUUUUCUGAAGCUAGUGGAACUUUGUAAAAGCCUUGUAGUGGAUCCCUAGCUAUUCACCUCGGAAGUGUCUAAGGGUCUAGCUAACACUGGCUAGAUGGGAUACACGACUUGUGGGUACUGGGUACGACCUCUGCAGAGUGUAAAACUGGUAUACUAGCCAUGCUCGCGGUAAUGAGCCGCUCAAUACUCUUGCAUGAUUAAUUUAUGGAAUUAAAUUCAAUUUAUCAUUUGCAUCGCAUUGGGAUUUAUUAUUAAUUCUGAUCUACUAUUACUCUGGUUUGGUUCUACUUACAUUUAGUAACUACUAAUAAAAUUUGACCAACUUAUUAAAAGCAAUGCUCAACUUUAACCCUUAUUUAUUGGUCAGCCUUACUCUUCACAUGAACUCCCACCUUUGGUAAGUUCAUGCACGUUAUUCCCCACAACUUGUUGAGCUAUGAUCUUUUGUGAGAUCACCCUUGCGAGAUAUAACCCCCCACAGGAGAAGAACAUGUGAUCUAGGAGGAGCCGUACAAUGAGGAGUACGAGUUGAUCUAGGUGGCGCCUUCGAGUCAGCUUUGUGGCGCCAAGGAAUAAUACUUAGUUCGCUUUAUUAUUAUCAUUUAUUUUGUUAAGACUUCCGCUAUGUAAUAAUGACAUUUAUGAUAUUUGUGACAUUUAUCUCUAUACACUUUGUCAUUAUAUGUGAUGUUCUUCUUUGGCACACAUAUGAGAUGCACCCGGCUUUAUCACUUAAAUCCGGGUGUGACAGAAAUGGUAUCAGAGGAAUGUUGACUGUAGGACGAAACCUAGAUAGACCUAGACAAAACCCUUACCUACUUACAUCACUCUAAUUCUUUCUAUACUUAUCUUGAUUCUGUCUCACCUUUUGUUGUUCUACUUUGAUUACUCUUAUCUUUCUACUCUAGAAAGACAAGAAGGAUUUCACACCUUGGAAUCCUACAUUUAUGACCCUCUGAAGAGAUAGGAGACCUAAGACAAAAUUUAAAAUUAUUUUCUCUAUUUGAAGCAAUUGGAUGUUUGUUCUGAUGGUAAAUGCAUGAUUUGCUUCUUUGACUGAAUGAAAUAGUAUAGCAGGGCAUUCUAGCAUGUACCACUAUAAGGUAAUAUAUUAGCAUUAGUAGGUGACACAUUAAUCUACUUAGCUAAUAAAACCCCCAAAAGAUCAUGUCUCGUAAUUACUCGUCUUGCCUACAAUUCUUUCUUACCGUGUAUUUCUAACCCAGAUGGUCAAUACCAGGAAGGGAGGCGGAAUUGAUCUACCUAUCAACCCACACAACCAGAGGGUGCUUAGACAACAACAAGCAGAAAUGAACCCUCUGAAUCCUCCACCGGCUGGGAUAGAUCCAGUGGUUGCAACUCAGAUGUAGAUGCUGCAACAAAUGGUGAAUACUAUGACGGAUAUGCAAGCUCAGAUGCGACAAGAACGUCAAGAGAUGUGCCAGGAAAGGCAUGAGAUGAGAGAGGAAAUGAGGCAAGAGAGGAUGGUACGACAGCAACAAGCACCAAUGCCCCCCACCACCAGUU